UACGGGGGGGGCAAGCGUUGUUCGGAAUUACUGGGCGUAAAGGGCUCGUAGGCGGCCAACUAAGUCAGACGUGAAAUCCCUCGGCUUAACCGGGGAACUGCGUCUGAUACUGGAUGGCUUGAAUCCGGGAGAGGGAUGCGGAAUUCCAGGUGUAGCGGUGAAAUGCGUAGAGAUCCGGAAGAACACCGGUGGCGAAGGCGGCCUGCUGGGACGUGGCUGACGCUGAGGAGCGAAAGCAUGGGGAGCGAACAGG
This 253-nucleotide ribosomal RNA is filed under the name uncultured bacterium. RNAcentral describes it as "partial 16S ribosomal RNA". It matches the Rfam family "Bacterial small subunit ribosomal RNA", at positions 524 to 776 of the family's 1533-position model. The record is from RNAcentral.